RNAcentral lists this ribosomal RNA (1319 nucleotides) under marine metagenome. RNAcentral describes it as "bacterial LSU rRNA". It matches the Rfam family "Bacterial large subunit ribosomal RNA", at positions 1158 to 2457 of the family's 2925-position model. The record is from RNAcentral.
CCUGCACCGAAAAUUUAACGGGGCUCAAGUCAUGCGCCGAAGCUGUGGGAUUUGUAUUUAUACAAAUCGGUAGGGGAGCGUUCCCUGUGCGGUGAAGCUGAAUCGAAAGGGUCAGUGGAGCGCAGGGAAGUGAGGAUGUUGGCAUAAGUAACGAAAAUGCGAGCGAGAAACUCGCACGCCGAAAGCCCAAGGUUUCCCGGGCCAUGUUAUUCAGCCCGGGGUUAGUCGGCACCUAAGACGAGGCCGAAAGGCGUAGUCGACGGCAAACCGGUUCAUAUUCCGGUACUUGCACGUGCGCGUGAUGGAGGGACACAGGAGGAUAGGCCGUCCGGGUGAUGGAUAUCCCGGUUCAAGGCAUUAGGCGGAAGUUCCAGGCAAAUCCGGAGCUUCAUUCAACGCCGAGAGCUGAUGACGAGAGGCUUUGCUUCGCAAAGCGGUCGAUUCCACACUGCCAAGAAAAGCUUCUAAGCAUAGCACGGGCGAACCGUACCCCAAACCGACACAGGUGGGCGGGUAGAGAAUACCAAGGCGCUUGAGGGAAAUCAUGUUAAGGAACUCUGCAAAUUGACUCCGUAACUUCGGAAGAAGGAGUGCCUGCAGCGGUAAAGGGACUUGCUCCCCGAGCUUCAGCAGGCCGCAGUGACCAGGCCCAGCCGACUGUUUAGCAAAAACACAGCACUCUGCUAAAUCGCAAGAUGAUGUAUAGGGUGUGACGCCUGCCCGGUGCCGGAAGGUUAAGGGGAGGGGUUAGGUCUUCGGACCAAAGCUCCAAACUGAAGCCCCGGUAAACGGCGGCCGUAACUAUAACGGUCCUAAGGUAGCGAAAUUCCUUGUCGGGUAAGUUCCGACCUGCACGAAUGGCGUAACGAUCUGGGCGCUGUCUCAAUGUGAUUCUCAGUGAAAUUGAAAUGGCGGUGAAGAUACCGUCAACCCGCGGCAAGACGGAAAGACCCCGUGCACCUUUACUGCAGCUUGGCAGUGGACUUGGGAAAGAUUUGUGUAGGAUAGGUGGGAGGCUUUGAAGGGGGGACGCUAGUUCUUCUGGAGCCAUCCUUGAAAUACCACCCUGAUUUUUUCUGUGUUCUAACCUCGUUCCGUGAUCCGGAACAGGGACCCUGUCUGGUGGGCAGUUUGACUGGGGCGGUCGCCUCCCAAAGCGUAACGGAGGCGCGCAAUGGUUCCCUCAGCCGGUUUGGAAAUCCGGCGUAGAGUGCAAAGGCAUAAGGGAGCCUGACUGCAAGAGAGACAUUUCAAGCAGGUACGAAAGUAGGUCUUAGUGAUCCGGUGGUUCCGAGUGGAAGGGCCAUCGCUCAACGGAU